This 433-nucleotide ribosomal RNA is filed under the name uncultured bacterium. RNAcentral describes it as "partial 16S ribosomal RNA". It matches the Rfam family "Bacterial small subunit ribosomal RNA", at positions 29 to 507 of the family's 1533-position model. The record is from RNAcentral.
AACGAACGCUGGCGGCAUGCCUAACGCAUGCAAGUCGAACGAGACCUUCGGGUCUAGUGGCGCACGGGUGCGUAACGCGUGGGAACCUGCCCUUAGGUUCGGAAUAACUCCCCGAAAGGGGUGCUAAUACCGGAUAAUUUCUUCUGACCAAAGAUUUAUCGCCUUUGGAUGGGCCCGCGUUGGAUUAGCUAGUUGGUAGUGUAAAAGCCUACCAAGGCGACGAUCCAUAGCUGGUCUGAGAGGAUGAGCAGCCACACUGGGCCUGAGACGCGGCCCAGACUCCUACGGGAGGGAGCAGUGGGGAAUAUUGGACAAUGGGCGAAGGCGUGAUAAAGCAAUGCCGUGUGAGUGAUGAAGGUCUUAGGGUUGUAAAGCUCUUUUAACAGGGAUGAUAAUGACAGUACCGGGAGAAUAAGCGACGGCUAACUCCGUG